Molecule: ribosomal RNA, 380 nt
Filed under: uncultured eukaryote
Lineage: Eukaryota
Description: partial 18S ribosomal RNA
Rfam family: Eukaryotic small subunit ribosomal RNA
Source: RNAcentral
CAAUAGCGUAUAUUAAAGUUGUUGCAGUUAAAAAGCUCGUAGUUGGAUUUGUGGCUGUCACGGGCGGCCUAUCACUUAGUGUUAGUGCUUGCCUGUGUCGCCAUCCUUGGGUGGAGCCCGUGUGGCAUUAGGUUGUCGUGCGGGGGCUGCCCAUCGUUUACUGUGAGAAAAUUAGAGUGUUCAAAGCAGGCUUAUGCCAUUGAAUAUGUUAGCAUGGAAUAAUAAGAUAGGACCUCGGUACUAUUUUGUUGGUUUGCGCACCGAGGUAAUGAUUAAUAGGGACAGUUGGGGGUAUUCGUAUUUCAUUGUCAGAGGUGAAAUUCUUGGAUUUCUGAAAGACGAACUACUGCGAAAGCAUUUACCAAGGAUGUUUUCAUUAA